AAACAAGGGGGGCUUGUAAAUUUUGUUUUUCCUUCUAGAAAUUAGUGCUUUGUAGGUAAGCAUUCUACCACCACUGAACCACAUCAUUCACAACCUAAUUCUGUGAUUAUAUUCGUUUUUUGAUAUUCAUUUUUGGUAUUACCAUUUGUUUCUUGAGAUGCAUGUCUUUUUCCUUUAGUGGAAUUUGUUUCUUAAAUAAUGACGGUAAGAGUCUGUAAAACUUGCACUUAUUAAAUAACUGGCUGUGACCGAAUCCUGAGUCAUUUUGCAUUUCUACAUUCCACUUAAUAACUUUGAAAAAUAACGUGUUCCAUUGAGAAUCAUUCAUCUAGGUUAUGGACUCUCCCAGACCUCUUCGAGGAGGAUGCUUUUUAUCUUAUCAGGAUAAAUGUCGAAACGGACUCAGUAGUAACUGUAUUUCUUCAUUUCUUGUGGGAGCAUUUGAGGAUAUCUCUAAUUUAAACUGCUUUAAUAACAACAGUUGCAAUUUAUUGAGCACUUACUAUAAAUGCCAGGCACUGGACUAUGACGUUUUGGGGGGUGGGGGUUAAUAGGCUUUAUUCUUUAGAGCAGUUUUAUGUUCCCAGCAAAGUUGAGUGGAAAGUACAGAGAUUUCCCGGACAGCCCCACACAUGCAGAGCCCCCCUCACUAUCAGCGUCCCCCUCCAGAGCGCUGCAUUCGUUACAGUUGGUGAACCUACAGUGACCUCUUACAAUCACCCAUGGUCCCUAGUUUACUCUGGGGGUCACUACUGCUGUUGACCUUCUCUGGGUUUGGACAGAUAUGUACCCACCGUGACAGUAUUAUACAGAGUAUGUUCACUGCCCUAAAGAUCCUCAGUGCUCUGCCUGUUCAUCCCUUCACCCAUCCCUCCCAUUUCUCCACCCCUUGGCAACCACUGGUUUUUUUUUUGUUGGUGUUGUUUUUGUAUUGUUUCCAUAGUUUUGCCUUUUCCAGAAUGUCCUGUAGUUGGAAUCAUACAGUGUCUAGCUUUUGUGGCCUGGCUUCGUUCACUUAGUAAUACACAUUUAGGUUUCCUCCUUGUCUUUUCAUGGCUUGAUAGUGCAUUUCUUUUGAGUGAUGCAUAAUACUCCCAUUUUCUAGAUAUACCACAGUUUAUGUGCUCACUUACUGAAGGACAUCUUGGUAACUUCCAAGUUUUGGCAUUUAUGAAUUAAGCUGCUAUAAAUAUUCAUGUUUUUGUGUGGAUGUAAGUUUCCAGAUCCUUUGGGUGCGUGAUUGCUGAGUUAUGGUAGGAGCACGUUUCAUUUAUAAACUGCCAAACCAUCCUCCCCAGUGGCUGUGCCAUUUUGCGGGUCUGCCAGCAAUAAAUGAGAGUUCCUGUUGUUCCACAUCAUCUCCAGCAUUUGCUGCUGUCCGUGUUCUAGAUUGUGACCAUUAGAAUGAGUCGUUUUAUUUUGUGUUUCCCUGCUGACCUGAUGUGGUGCUUUUUAAUACAUGUUUUCAUAGUCCUCACCACAGCCGUGCAUGGUGCCCUUCUAGACGGGGAGAGCACAGCAGGAGUCAGACCAGCGGGCUUGCCAGUGGUCUCUCCUCUCUCAAAGUUGAAACCUAGAUAAAGUUAAGUUCUGCGUUCAUAAAGCUUUUAAAGUUUAAUGACAUGUUUGAAGAAUGUUAAUGACAUACUCAGUUUUAGACAUUAAUCUUGCAAAGGCCUCUGCACCCUAAUUGAGGGUCAUCUUUUGUGUCUAUUUUGACAGAAUAAUGAGAUGAAUUUAAAUUUUAUUGUUAGGUGACUUGUUUUCUUCCUUUCAAAUUAAGCCUUUUAGAACAAAACUAUAUUUUUUCUAGUUGCAAAAGUAACACAUGCUCACUGUAGAAAAAGUGAAACAAUAGUAAAACACAAGGAAUAAAAUAGAAUGAGUGAUCUUCACUAUCCAGAGAUCACUGGAGUCCUGUAGCUUUUAAUUUCUUCAGGGAGACCAUAAGGAGAUUAAGGGACAGUCUAUUUCAGCUGGCCAUCAGUGUGGGAACACUGGAUCAGACAGUGGCUUUUCUGCUCUAGGUCUCAGAGCAGGUGCUAAUUUGUUCUUGGAUGUUUUAGAGUGAAGAGAAACUAUUUGAAAUUUUGGACCUGAUCUUCCCGUACUGAUUUCUUCUUACUGGAAACAUGAAGAAACCUGGAGAGGGAGAAAUUCAUCUGAGCAAAAUGUAUUUUUCUUUCCUGGUGGUGUUAUUUUACAUACAUAAAACUGCAAAGAAGUAGCUAGAAUGAGCCUUUUAGAUAUGAGAAGAUCUGGGGAAUAUAAGAGAGGAAAUUAAUGUCUUUUUUUUUUUUAAUGAUUUUUGUUUUAAAAAGGAGGGAAGCCUCGGGGCGCCUGGGUGGCUCAGUCGGCUAAGCGGCUGCCUUCGGCUCAGGUCAUGAUCCCAGGAUCCUGGGAUCGAGCCCCGCGUCGGGCUCCCCGCUCAGCGGGAAGCCUGCUUCUCCCUCUCCCUCUGCCUGCCACUCUGCCUACUUGUGCUGUCUCUUUAUCUCUAUGUCAAAUAAAUAAAUAAAAUCUUUAAAAAAAAUUAAAAAUUAAAAAAAAAAGGAGGGAAGCCUGUAUAAAUUAUCGCAGAUUUCCCCCCAUCUGUGUUCCUUAAAACAUUAAUAUAUUCAGAUCUGUUCAUAGAUGAUCCAUGGCCAAAAAAAGGUAAGUGGUAAAAUAAGUUUAGGAAAAUGCUUGAAAUGUAGUCUACUUUCAGAGGCUCCUGAGAGACAUACUGAGAUUCUGAGAGCUUUAGGAUUAAGAACUUGUUCUAUGUAGAUUAACCUGUGGUUUCCCAAAUUCAUUUGACCAUGUAACCCUUUCAUCACAGCUUAGUGUGUAACAGCACAAGGGAGGAACUUUAGGGCCAGAUUUGGGGACAUAGUGUUAGGAAGUGGAACCUUGGUGAGGCAAAUGGAAUCAAAGCAGACAUGAGAACAGUGAGCAAUGGCUUUAUGUUGUAAGUAGACACAUAAAAAAGCCGAGUAAUCUGGGAAACUAAAUUGGUAUAGUACUUCGGAGAGAAAUUUGGCAUUAUGUGAUAUCAUUAAAGAACUCCUACACUGUGAUCCAGGAAUUUCAUGCCUGUAUACGUCCUCUAGAGUACUUCCCAGACUCCAGUGUGCAUGCAGUACAGAGCACCUGGGCAUUUUGUUAAAAUGCAGAUUCCAAUUCAGCAUAUCUGGGGUACAGCCUGAGAUUCUGUAUUUUUAACAAAUUCCCAGGUGAUGCUAAUGCCUCUAGUCCACAGCUAUUGCUUUGAGAAACAAGGAAGACAGGAAACCUAGGUUUCAGUCCCCGAUUUUUCCACUGACUUGCUCGGUGACAUAGGACAAGCUGCCUCCUGUCUAGGAAGGCCUCUUGUGACUCUAAACCUCGGUUCUAUGGAAGGCCUUGAAUCCCCGUCGUGGAGGACAACCACUGUUAGCCCUUCUUACGAGAUCUCCCACUUUCUGCCUCCAGCUGUAUGGGAGCCAAUGGGGAGAUUUCAUGUACUUACACAAGCAUUUGUGGCCCCUCUCUGUCAUCCUCCAGGCCCUUGUUACUCUUGUGUGUGCAUGGGAAACACACAAGAGUAUUCAUGGCAGCAUCGUAACAGCAAAUUACUGGAAACACCCAGCUGUCCAUCCCAGGAGAAUGGAGUGAUUGUGGUGUAUUUAUUCAGCAGUUAACGGUCAAUGAAUUAAAGCCACAUGUAUUUACAUGACUAAAUCCCAGACACAUAAUAAUGAGCAUAAAAGAGUAAGUCGUAGAAGAAUAUGUACAAAUAGCAUUUGAAUGAAGUUAAAAAAUGCAAAACAGUAGUUGCCAUAUAAGCAUAUAUAUAUAUAUAUAUAUAUAUAUGAAUAAAAUAACAAAAGCAUGUAUUAGAUUAACAAAUACCAAAUUUUGGAAUAAUGGGUCUUCCUGGAAAGGGGCUUUGUGGAGGAGGGGAAUUUAGGAUCAGAGAGAAGUAAAUGAGGCGGUUCGGACAUGUCUGUCAUGUGUCACUUCUUAAGCUGAGGGUUGAGUACAUAGAUGUUCAUUACAUUCUCUCUAAUUCUUGGGCUUUGAAAGAUUUCAAAGUAAAAAUCGUAAGAAAACCUCUGUAAAGGAUUAAAAAGUAAACAGAAGAGUGGCACUUCUGGGCUGUGACCAAGCGAGGAGAUCACCGGAUUCUCUUCUCAAAAGAAAGCAACUCUAAAACUGGACAAAACUGACAAAGCAACCACUUCAGUGUUCUGGAAAUCAGCCAGAGGCAGACAGCAGUCUGAGGCUCAUUUAUGCCUUGAACAACUGCCAGACUUUAGGUAGGAACAAUGAGAAGCUGUGGUGUUUGGCCCAGGGCUGCUUCCCACACGCCCCAAGCCGUGUCGUAUGAAGUUUCUGCCGGGGCAGGGUGGGUGGCAAGGAUGGAGGGCUUGCCCUGCAGUGACGGAAGGGUGGGUGACACCCAUGCCCAACAUUGUUGUCUCUAGAAGUGAUGUCUCAGGGACAGGAGGGUGGGGAAAGGCCAGGGUCUGUCUCUCCCAGCCCAGGGCUGCAGCCAAGUGUGUUGUUGUCUGAGACCACAUGCUCCGUGGUGAUCUCGGAGCUGAAGCUGUUUACACCCCUGCGUGACCUUGAGACUGUGUGCAUGCAGGUAGGAGACAGAUGGGACUUGCAGAAGUAGCCCAGGCGGGAUUGGAAGUGGCCACAGCUUUGAACAAUGUUCUCUCCCUACACCCAGAUCCAUUAGCAGAUGGUAUCAGCCUUACUGAUCAGAGAUGUUUGAGCACCCAUGUCCAGUAACUGGCUGACAGCUAGUCUUGAAAGAAUAUUAAAUAAGAAACGGAGCAGGGACAUCGUCGAUGGCUGCACACGACAGAGGAAGCAGACCUCACAGGUCUAGCCUGGCCAUGCUACUAAACAAAGCAGGCAAACAAGGUCACAGCAGCAAACUUAAGGGCAAAAAAUGCAGAGUUGUGACAUUUUAUUGUCUGAAAUGUCUGGUUUUCAGCAAAAGAUGACAAGCUAUACAACGAAAUAUGACAGUGUGACUCAUACUCAGAAAAAGAGUCUGCAGGGGCAGGUGGCUCAGUCGGUUAAACAUCUGACUCUUGAUCUCAGCUCAGGUCUUGAUCUCAGGGUCGUGAGUUCGAGUCCCUCUUUGGGCUCUGCACUGGGCAUGGAGCCUAUUUAGAAAAUAAAUUAAUAAAAGAAAAGUCGGCAGAAGCUGCUUCUGAGUAUUCCCAGAUGCUGAAUUUAGCAGAGAAAGACCUCAAUUAAUGUAUGUUCAGAGAACUAAAGGAAAUGAUAUUUAAAGAAUUAAAAAGGAAAAUAUGACAACAUGAAUGGUACCAGAAGCCAACACUUAGAGAUUCUCAAUAAAGGACAGAAAAAUUAUCGAAAAGAGCCACAUGGAAAUCAUGGAAUUGAAGAGUACAAUACUGGAAAUGGAAAACAUCACUUGCGGACUUAAACAGUGGAUUCAAAACAGCAGAAGAAUCUGUGAGUUUGAAGAUAGAGCAAUAGAAAUUAUUGCUCUGAAGAACAAGUUAAAAAAAAAAAAACCUGAAGAAAAUGAACAGAGCCUUAAAGGCCUGUGGGACACUGUCACAUCCCAGAGAAGAGGAGAGAAAGUGGCAGAAAAAAUAUUUCAAGAAAUAAUAGCUGAAACUUCCCAAAUAAGAUGUUUUGUAGACAUGGAUAAGGUAAUCCUAAAAUCAAAGUACCUAGGAUAGCCCAAAGAAUUUUGAAAAAGAACAACAUCAGAAGACUUCAUGCUACUUGAUUUCAAAACUUCAGUAAUCAGGGCGGUGUGACAUUGGCGUAAGGAUGGGCACAUAGACUGAUGGGUCAGAACUGAGAGUCUAGAAAUAAAUCCUUCUUUUAUACUCAGUUGAUUUUUGGCAAAGGUGCCAUGACAUUUCCGUGGGGAAAAGACAGUCUUUUCAACAAGCGGUGCUAGAACAGUUGUUCUCCAGAUGCAAAAGACAAAAAAGAACUAAGACCCUUACCUUACGAUGUGUAAGAAUGACUUCACAAUAGAUAAUAGACAAAAAUGUAAGAAAUAUAACUACAUAAACCUCUAGAAGAAAUUGUAGGAGAGACUCUUAGUCAUUUGGGACAGAAAGUUCUUACUCCAAAGACACUAUCCAUAAAAGACAAGAACAGUGUUAGUCUUCAAAAGUAAAAUACCUUGUUAUUUAGAAGACACCAUGAAGAAAAUGAAAAGACAAACCCACAAGCUGGGAGAAAAUAUUUCCAGCUCAUAGAUCCGAUAUAUGACUGGUAUAUGAAGAAUUCUUAAAAAUCAGUAGUAAUAAGAUAACUUAAUUUUACAAUGGGCAGAGGAUGUAGUGACUUAAUAUUUCAUCAGUUAUUAGAAAACAAAACAAUGAGAUACUACUUCACACUCACUGGAAUGACUAUAAUAAAAACAUUCAGAUAUGACCAUGUUUUAUUGAGGACGUGGGUAAAUGGAAAUCCUUGCCCAUUGUUGGUAGGAGUGUGAAAUAGUGCAGCCAGUUUGGAAAACAGCUGGGCAGGUGUUUCAUUUAUUUAUUUAUUUAUUUAUUUUUUAAGAUUUUAUUUAUUUAUUUGACAGGGAGAGACACAGCGAGAGAGGGAGCACAAGCAGGGGGAGUGGGAGAGGGAGAAGCAGGCUUCCCGCUGGGCAGGGAGCCCGAUGUAGGGGCUCGAUCCCAGGACCCUGGGAUCCUGACCUGAGCCGAAGGCAGACGCUCAACGACUGAGCCACCCAGGCGCCCAGGCAGGGUGUUUUAAAGUGGGGCACGUAUUUACCAUAUGACUCCGCAGUCCUCCCAGGAAUCUACCUAAGAGAAAUGAAAAGAAUGAAAUGUCCACACAAAAACUUGUGCAUGAACACUCACUGCCUUAUUUACAGUAGUCCAAAUAGUGGAAACAACACAAAUGUCCAUCAGUGGGUGAGUGGAAAAACAAAACAUGGCCUACCCACAGAAUACAGUUCAGCAGUUACACGGAAUUGACUACGGAUACCUGCAACAACAUGGAUAAACCUCGAAAGCCUGACGCUCGGUGAAAGCUGGCAUUUAGAAACAUCUGCCUGUGGCAUGAUUUCAUGUAUGUAGAAUGUCUACGGAAGUCACAUUCAUAGAAACACAAGGCAGGUUAGCAGGUGUGCGGGCUGGGGGCUGGAUAUGCAGAUCACCUGCAGUGGGUACAAGAGAACUUUUGGGAGUAAUGAAAACAUUCUAAAACUGGCUUGUGGUGGUUGUACACCCCCUGUAAAUUUACCAAAAUCAUUGAAUUUACACUUACAGAAAGUGAAUGUUACGGCAUGUAAAUUAACCCUUCAUUAAACUGUUGUUCAAAAGUGUGAUGCAGAGGCACCUAACUGGCUCAGUCAGUGGAGCAUGUGACUCUUGAUCUUGGGGCCAUGAGUUUGAGCCCCACGUUGGGUAUAGAAAUUACUUUUUUUAAAAAAGUGUAAUGCAGGCUAAAGUUCAGAAGCAGCACAAAAAUUCUUAAACUGGAAGCUUUGUUUGAGUUGUCUGCCCCUAAGUACUCUUACUUUGAGAGAUUUACAGCAAGUACUCAUGAGGUGAUCUCUUGUGAUUUUGGUUCUCAUCUUAAGUAUUCAGGGCAGAAUGAUGUUAAAAUGUGAGCAAGAAAAAUGUAAAAAUAAAGACAGUCACUUUGCUUUACAAUGAGUAGAGACAUGCUAAGUGCCCGUGUGUGUGAGACGGAAAGACUCUCAAGUCAUGAUGUAAACACAGAGGUUAAAUAUUUUAGAGUUACAAAGUCUCUGUCUAAACCAAACUGCUCUAGGUUGGUGCGGCUUAUUUUAUUUAACCUGAAAAGUUACACAGAUUAUUUAAAUGAAAGCAUGGGUGUAUUGUUAACAGAAGCAAUGGAAAUAAAUCCAUUCAUUGAAAAGAUUUCUGAAAUACACUUUUAAUUUUUACUUUUAAUUAGAGAAAAAUUAAAAUGCCAUUUUGUUUGGGAAUUUGUGGAUUAUGUGCAAACAGGCUCAUUUUAGGGUGUGAAAGGGUCCGGGUUGUUUCUUGAUAGAAGAACUUUUGCCCUUUCCUCUUUGAACCCCUAAGCUAUUGUUCAUCAUCUCCUGUUUUCCAAGCAGAAUUCUGUCUUGGUUUCAGUCUGUUCUCCGUGGUGGUGCACCUGUUAACAUAUUCAUCACCCCAGAAAAUUGUCAUGGAGUAUUUUGUCUGGCUCACAGAUCUCUGCUUCUUUAGCAAUCCCACUCUGUUCUGCUUUCUGCAUCUUUCAGAAUCAUACGUAAGGGAGUGUCACUGACCUGUAAUUUGCCACAGGAUUCUGCAUCAUCUUUUUAGUUAUAAAAACAAAAUUAAAUCUCUGUUGGAUAAUAGAGCACCUCUGCAAUAGUGAAAACAGUUUGGCGUUGACAGUCACAAGGCUGGAAUUGGAAUCCCAGACCCAGUGAUGACUAGCCUUGGGACUUUAGGGGAAUGAGUCUUUAAACCAUUGGCUCUCACGCGAGAGCAUCUGCUUAAUUGCCUGACAGGAUGAUUGUAACUUUAUUGAGAUAAUGAAUUUGUUAAGUUGUAUAGUUGUUAUUUAUUAUUCUUGUUCCUUGAAUGAGCACUACCUCUUUUAUAAUUAUGGAAUCAAUGUACUUAUUUUUCUAACUUUAAGCUAGUACUUAUUUUUUUUAAUUUCCAAAUACACUUUUUCUUUGUUGUUCUGGUCUUUUUUCCAUAUGACGUAAUUGUUUCAAAUGCAUUUAGCGUAAAAUAGUUCAUCAACAGGCAUUAAAUUACAUGUGCUCUAUGGCAAGCAUUCUGUGAGAGACCCUGUAGGGAUCUACAGAAGAAGUGUAUGCGAGUGCAUGUCCUUAAGGAACAUUUUACUCCAAAAGGGAGACAAACAUGCGUGAAAUAACUGGGACCCACUGAGUGCUGACUUAGCGGGGCAGGCCUCAGUAUUACCAGAGAACGAGUUCCUGACUCUGAAGGCUGGCAGGAAUAAUCAGAGGACUUCGCAGAGGAGGCUUUCAUUGUGCUGGGCCCUACAUCGUUGUCAGGAUGGGACCAGAGAAGACCCUGUCCGUGGGGGAACCAUGUGAGUCAGAGACCUGCCUGGGGGGCAGGAGUCUGAGGGUGAGGGUAGAAAAUGAGGCUGGGUGGGGUGACCACAAGCAUGGGGGUUUGGGUUCCAUAUGCUAAUUUGUGACCAGGUAUUUUUUUGAGCUCCUGUCAGGUCUCCAGGUGUAAACAAGGCCCACGUCAUAGCUGCACGAUACCUGCUUUCGUGGAGUUAUAAUCAACAUUGAAUCAGAAAUGAUGAUUAUGAAAAGAUCUUAUGAAGCAUACCUAGUUCCAUGGAGUCAGAGAGGGCUGCCUGAGGAGAUGGUGUUUGAACAGGAAUUCACAGGUUGAGAAGAGUCUUCUAAGCAGGAGAAUCCUCAGGGUUGAAGGCUCAGAGGUGGGAGAAAGCAACGUGAAAGCCUUUUAGAUACUGGGCAGGAAAGGGGCUGAAGGGGUGGAUGAGGAGAUAGUAAAUUAAACUUCGAGGCCUCCUUCUCACAGCCGCUGUGUGCCCAAGGCAGGGACUAGUUAUUAGUCACGGUGAGGAUCUAGGGUUUUGAAAGACGUGGGAGGUGUAGCCCUUGGCCAGUGAGGCUGAUGCCGCCUGACUCGAUGGCCUCCUCGGGCGCAGCGCUGUGCUAGGGGCUCUGUGGGUGUGGGGCCACCACACCGGGCAGCUGAGCAGCUCUGCUCCUCGACGGCUGCUGCUGGUAAGCAGCUAGAAAGUUGUUCCUGGCUUCUCUGCCUCCGAGUGUGGGCUCAGCAAACUCGGCAGGAAGCGUUGGGUGGGGGUGUGGUGGCCAAGCAAGCCUCACAGUGUGGGCUCCCUCCGCCGCCCGCCAGGUGAAGAGCCUGGAAGCAGGAAGGGCCUGGAACACUGGCCCCCUGGCUGAAUUCCAGUGGUGUCCGCAUUCAGGGUCAGGGAGACGCUGGUUAUAAGAAGAUCCUGUUUCAGGCCAGCCAAGUGACACUAGAUGGAGGCCUGAUAGCCUCUGGGGAAUGGGGUGAGCUUAGACAGCACCGGCUCAGCACCCACAUCAUCUCAAGCCUCUCUGGCCCCCGUCUUUUCAGCAGAGCAAUCCUCGACAUGCCGUAGCUCUCUGCUUGUACUCCAGAGAGAAUUCUGCCCUGAGAAGCACUUGCUGUCCUGCCUCAUUCCUGUGCUGCUCCUGCCUUCUCCCUCCCCAGAUGCCCUUCUAUCCUUGUCGUCUGUCCACGUGAGGCUCAAGGACGCUCGCCUCAGUCACUGGAUAUCCCCCCCGCAACCUAUAACUCAUAAUCUCAAGGAGUGGACCCAAAGAUCCAUGUCUCGGCCCUCCCCUGCUGGCCUGUCAGUUCUGCCCACCCUUCAUUUUAGUCGAGAAACCUUAGAUUAGCACCUCUCUAUGCUGUGCAUUGCGAUGUGAACUAAUAUGAAUUGGGAAGAGUCCAAAAAAAAAAAACCCCAAAGGCCUGGAUACGCCCUCGGUGCAUUACAGUCCUGGGCCUCGCGGUCUCCAGAGCGCCUUGUUGCCCCUCCUAGACGGUAUUGCCCUUCUCCUGUUAGGCUGUUACUUGCAUACUUGACUGGCAGAGGGAAAAAGGGCUGCAGGUUUCUGUACGUGGAAGCGUGUGUUUUUCUGUUCUCUGCAGUGGCCAGCAGAAUGCCUCAAGCAAAACAAGUGUGUACCGCACUGAAAUGAUUUUGUGAAGGUACUUAGUUCUGUUGAGCUUUCCUGUCACUUAAGCAUAGAGGGCUGACCGAAAAAUUACAGGUAGUUAAGUAUAAGUAUUUUGUGUUCUUGCUCUGUGAACGAUGUUCCAAGAGCUUGCCUGUGUUUGUCCUACUGAAUGCCCUUCAUCUGAUGCCUGAAGGACAUCUCUCCCAGCGCAGUGUCCGUGACAUCAUUGACGGGAAAGUCAGCUCAAUUUGUGGUUUUCUCCUUUACCUCUAGUUAGCAGGAGGAGUUCUUUGUAAUGUAGUUAGCGGAUGUGUGGUAGUAUAAAAGGAAGUUACAAGCUCUUGGAUAGUUUAAAAUAAUGUAUAUUUCUCUGAAAGUUAAGGAUUUAUUUUCUUGGAUUUUAAAAAUUUAAAAAUUUAUAUAGGCUUUACUGUUACUGUUUAUCAGUCUUAGAUUGUGUCAAACCGUUCUCAAGUUGGAUAUCUCUUACAGUUUUAUCUGUGGACAUUCUUUCCAUUGUUAGUAAAAAAAUGUUAUUUUUUUUUUGCAUCUUUGAUGAAGAUGCAACCAAGUAAUGUUGCUUUUCAGUCUUGGUAUCAAUCUGCAGUAUCAGGUGCUUCUUACUGUUCCUUUGGCUGCUUGAGCAGAAUUACUUGAAUGACCCUUUACCUUCUUUUUUCCAUCAUAUUCUCUUAAAGAAAAAGAAAACCUCUGUAGCUUUAUAUUGUCAAGCAAUAAAUAGAAAAACAUCACUUUGUGCAAGAUAGAAAAUUCACUUUGUGAAUAUAAAAAAAUCACUUUAUGAAAGCAAGUAAAGAUAAAUCAUAAACAUGUUGCAAAAUAUCUUUAAAUAACAGUAAUUUGGGCCACUUAGUGUCAAUCUAGUAUCUUUAUCCUAAAAAAACCCAUCAAGAAAAUAAAUAAGAGUCACACUGUUGUUUUACUGUUUAAAGUUUUUUUGUUCUAAUUGAAUAUGGAUUUAAUUGCCUCAGAAAAGAUGGAGCCUACAGUUUAAAUGUACUGCUGUGGCAGGAAAUAAGAAUUUAAAUCGCAUGUAUUUUUUUGCCUGAGUUGCAAAUAUUUCUCCUACUAUCUUCCAUGUGAUCCAUACAAUCUUUAGAAAAUGCGGGAUUAUCAAAAAAUAUAUAUAUAAAACUGAAACACUUAAUGGAACAGAGUAGAAAGCUCAGAAAUAAACCCACAACUACGUGGUCAAUCUUUGACAAAGCAGAGAAGAAUAUCCAAUGGGAAAAAGACAGUCUUUUCAACAAAGAGCAUUGGGAAAACUGGACAGCAACAUGCAGAAGAAAGAAAGUGGACCACUUUCCUAUACCACACACAAAUAUAAAUUCAAAAUAUGUUAAAAAAGGCCUAAAUGUGAUACCUACAACCAUAAAAAUCCUAGAAGAAGAUAUAGACAGUAACCUCUUUGACAUUGGCUGUAGCAACUUUUUUCUAGAUAUUUCUCCUGAGGCAAGGGAAGCAAAAACAAACUAUUGGGACUUCAUCAAAGUAAAAAUCUUCUGCACAGAGAAGGAAACAAUCAACAAAACUAAAAGGCAACCUACAGAAUGGGAGAAGAUACUUGCAAAUCAUGUAUCUGAUAAAGAACUAGUAUCUAAAAUAUAUAAAGAACUUAUCAAACUCAACACCUGAAAAACAAUCCAAUUAAAAAAUGGGCAGAAGACAUGAACAGCCAUUUCUCUAAAGAAGACGUCCAAAUGGCCAACAGACACAUGAAAAGAUGCUCAACAUCACUCAUCAUCAGAGAAAUGCAAAUCAAAACCACAAUGAGAUAUCACCUCGCACCUGUCAGAAUGGCUAAAGUCAGAAACACAAAAAACAACAGGUGUUGGUGAGGAUGUGGAGAAAGCAGAACCCUCUUGCACUGUUGGUGGGAAUGCAAACUGGUGCAGCCACUCUGGAAAACAGUAUGGAGGUUCCUCAAAAAGUUAAAAAUAGAACUACCUUAUGAUCCAGCAAUCACAUUACUGGGUAUUUACCCAAAGAAUAUAAGAACACUAACUCAGAGAGAUACAUGCAACCCUAUGUUUAUAGCAGCCGAGAUAGGGAAGCAGCCCAAGUGUCCACUGACUGGUGAAUGGAUAAAGAGUAGUUGGGGGGGGGGGGUGUAUAAUGGAAUAUUACUCAGCUAUCAAAAAGAAUGAAAUCUUGCCAUUAUCGAUAACAUGGAUGAAACUAGAGACUAUACUGCUAAGGGAAAUGAGUCAGAGAAAGACAAAUACCAUGUGGAAUUUAAGAAACAAACGAGCAGGGGGGGCGGGAAACAAACCAAGAUACAGACUGUUAACUAUAGAGAACAAGGUGAUGAUCACCAGAGGGGAGGGAGUGGGGAAACAGGUGAUGGAGAUUAAAGAGGGUGCUUAUGGUGAGCACUGGGUGUUGUAUGGAAUUCUUGAGUCACUAUUUUGUACACCUGAAACUAAUAAACACUGUAUGUUUACUGGAGUUAAAAUAAAAACUUCAAAAAAAUAAAACAGAAACACUUAGGCCAUAGCUUCUUAAAAAUAAAAAUUGCUUAUAAAGUAUAACUGCUGAUGGUUCUGUUCAGAAACCUUCCCAAAAGCUCUGACGUUUUCCUUUGUGUCUCUGAAUCCUUAUUGAAGUAGAAGCGAGGAGUCCAUCCAUCUGCCAGAGACUUGAGACAGUCUGUCCACUCACCUUCGUGUCUCACUCUGACCUUGCACGCUCUGUCUCCUGAGGGGCCUGCUUCAACUCGCCACUUGGUUUGCCGUUUUACCUUCCUUGUGCUUAUCUUUCCCUCACCGGCAGCAGAAGGGAGGAAGAAGCCAAAGUAACGUAAAGGAUCAGCCGAGGUUUAGAACACUGGCUUCGAAAGCAGGUCCGUAAUUGACAGGAUGGAAGACGCGGUUUCCUUGGUAGCUGUCCCUGGGCCGACGGGGAGGCCUGGUGGGGAGGUCUCACAACUCUCCGCACUUGAGGUUUGUCAGAGCGGGGGGCCCCGGAGAGGCAGGAGAAUGCUCUGUCCUGUGGGACUGUCCUCCGCAUUGGAUGAGAGCUGCGUCCCCAGUCCCAUGCCUGCAGAGCCCAGUGACAGCUGUCCACGUGAACAGCCACGUACAACCUGUCCCCGGAGUCUGCGGACAGGCUCUGCCCCACUGAGACCCAGUGUCACCUUCCAGGUUUGUGGUGCCUUUGGAGCAGGAAUGCAGAGGGGUCCCUUGGCGGGGGGGGGGGCGUGGGAAUGGCCGAACGAUGAAGGAAAGGGGACAGGCUUAUGUAACUCCUGCUAGUUCCACCCUCCACCUGCUGUCCUUUCCGCCCGACCUGGGCCAACUUUUUCAUCUUUCUCCCAAUGCAGAUCUGCUGGGCAUGAGUUCUCGCAUCACUCACCUAUCUGAAAACGUCUUUUUUCUGCCAUUGCUUUUCAGGGACAUAGACACAGAGUUCUGAGCUGACAGCGCUUUCCACACUUUAAAAAGUGUUGUUACUUUGUUUUCCAGCCUCUGUUCUUCCUGGUGAAAGAUGUUCUCUUUUAUAUAAUGUCUUUUUUUUAAUUGUAUUUUUUUUAGAACGGUGUUACAGAAAAAUUGCAAAGACGGUACAAAGAAUGCCCCCAGGUUCCCCUGUUAACCUCUUAACGUUAGUUUGGUACCUGUGUGAUAACUAGCAACCCAGUCAGCACAGGUACGCAGUCAUUAACCAACGUCCGUGCUUUAUUCAGAUUUCCUUAGCUUUUACAUAAUGUCCAUUUUCUGUGCCAGGAUCCAGCCCAUGAGGGGGGGUCCCUGUGUCUCCUUUGUCUCUGGCUGCGACAGUUUUAUAGACUUCCCUUGUGUUUUGACAGUUUUGAGGACUCCUGGUCAGGUAUUGUGUAGCAUGUUCUUCAACUGGGAUUUGAUGUCGUUCUCGUGAUUAGACUGAGGAUAUGGGGCGUUGAGAGGAACAUCACAGGGUCCACACUGUCAACAUGAAUGGUCACUGUCACCUGGCUGUUUGUCGGGCUUCUCCACCGUGAAGCUCCUUGUUUCUCUUGUCCAUGCGGUACUCUCUAGAAGGAGGCCACUGUGCACAGCCUACGCGUAAGGAGUAGGGAGUAUUACUUGGAAUUACUCUGCAUGAAUGAUUUGUUUCUUCUCCAUUUCUUAAUUUAUUCAGUCAUUUAUUUAUAUCAGUAUGGACUUGUGGAUAGUUAUUUUAUACUUUGUGAUAGAACACAGUGCUAUUUUGCUUAUUUCUGUUGCUCACACUAUUCCAUCUUUGGCCCUUGGGAGCACUUUCUCUUGGCUCCGGGUCCUUAGACAUACACUCAUUACCAUUGGUAUUGGGGUUUUUUAUUUGUUUUGUUUUUGAGCACUUUCUUCCUUUCUGGUGCUCUGAGGUGCUCUAGGCUCAUCUUGUAUGACUUCCUGUCCCAGCCCGAGAAUCGGCUGUUUUCUCCCAGGGACCCUGGUUUCCAUUGAUCAGAGAAGGGCAUUAGAAACCAACUCCGGGCAUUAAAUGUGCUCGUUACUGUUGUGGUUUUGUUGCGUCUGGGCCCUCUCAGCUGACAGAGCAAGGGAAUGUGUAUGUAUACCAACCCUUGUAUGUACACGUAUCUGUAAAUACUUCUGUAUGUAACCUUCCAUAUCUGUAUUGAGCUAAGAACGAGUCCGUACCCAUGUCUCCAGCUCCAAUCCAUGACCACAUGGAUCAUUCUAGCCUCCUCCACCCUUGUAAAGUCCCACCCCGACUGAGAAGCCUGGCUCCCACCACCCACCAUCCAUUUUCUUGUUGAGUUCACUGAGCGCUCUCGGACUUACAGAUUCUUAAACAUAAAUAACAGUCUGCAGGCUUUUAGAGUGCUGGUGCUUGGUGCGUAUCUUUUCUGGGUGGAAUGCCUCAGUACUUAACCUUUCUCUCUCCUCCCAUUUAAAAUGCUUCUGUCGGGGCACCUGGGUGGCUCAGUUGGUUAAGCGACUGCCUUCGGCUCAGGUCAUGAUCCUGGAGUCCCAGGAUCGAGUCCUGCAUCGGGCUCCCUGCUCGGCAAGGAGUCUGCUUCUCCCUCUCAUGCUCUCUGUCUCUCAUUCUCUCUCUCUUUUAUAAUAAAUAAAAUCUUUUUUAUAAAUAAAUAAAUAAAUAAAAUAAAAUGCUUCUAUCAAAAAUUUGUAAGAGCAGUCUUCCUCUCUGGGCUCAGACCUAGUUCGCGGCGACAUGGCUAAACGCACCAAGAAGGUCGGAAUCGUGGGUAAAUACAGGACCCGUUAGGGUGCCUCCCUCAGGAAAAUGGUGAAGAAGAUUGGAAUGAGCCAGCACGCCAAGGAAACUCGCUCCUUCUGUGGCAAAACAAGAUGAAAAGAUGAGCGGUGGGGAUCUGGCACCGUGGCUCCUGCAUGAAAACCGUCACUGGAGGCGCCUGGACCUACAGCACUGCUUCUGCCGUCACAGUGAAGUCGGCCAUCAGACGACUGAAGGAGUGGAAAGGCCAGCAGAAGCUCCACCAUUUGAAACAUAGCUAGCCUAUAAUAAAUGGGUUCAUUUAUGUAACAACAACAAAACAUUUUGUAAGAAAAUACAAAUGUAAGUAUCUUAACUUGAAAAUGACAUGAAACUAGGUGGAUCUUGGAAUACACGAAACAACAGAAAGAAGGUAUUCAUUAAGUUAACCUGCAAAUGCGUUCAAAAACUUAGUAACAAGAGUUUGUGGAGACUUGGGUUAAGUAACAGGUCCAGCAGAGAAUCCGUGGGAACCUUCUAUCCUGUAAUCCCUACAUGCCCUAGCGUGUGCCAUGGCUCCCAAAAUACAUAUUGAAAGCUUGGGCCGUAUCCUUGGGACAUAAUAUUCAGAUGUGGGAAGAGGUUAGCCUCCUACUGCUCUUGAUAAUGGAUGUGUUGUAUUCAUUUUUAGCAUUUUAUUUAUUUUUUAAUAUUUUUGGAUUUUAUUUAUUUGACAGAGACACAGCAAGAGAGGGAACAGAAGCAGGGGGAAUGGGAGAGGGAGAAGCAGGCUUCCCGCCGAGCAGGGAACCCGAUGCGGGGCUCGAUCCCAGGACCCUGGGAUCACGACCUGAGCCAAAGGCAGACACUUAACGACUGAGCCACCCAGGCAUCCCUAUUGUAUCUAUUUUGUUGUUUUGUUUUUUUAAGAUUUUAUUUAUUAGAGCACAAGUUGUGGCAGAGGGAGAGGGAGAAGCAGACUCCCCGCUAAGCAGGGAGCCCGAUGCGGGGCUCGACCCCAGGACCCUGGGAUCAUGACCUGAGCCGAAGGCAGACGCUUAACGACUGAGCUACCCAGGCACCCCCACAUUUUAUUUUAAUAAAAACAUUGAAAAACUGCUGUCCACAAGUGAACAGGAUGGAAAAGAUCUGUGAACAGUGUUUUACCAUUUGGAAUUUAAGCAUGAAAAUGAAUAAUGACAGUAAUGAUUUUAUUAGCCCAUUAAAUAAUAUAGGAACAUGAGUUCAUACUAAUCUUUUUUUUAUAUAAGAUUUUAUUUAAGAGAGAGAGAAAGCGAGCACAUAAGCAGAGGGGAGGGGCAAAGGGAGAGGGAGAAGCAGAGCCUGAUUUGGGACCCUGGGAUCAUGACCUGAGCUGAAGGCAGACGCUCACCUCACUGAGCCACCCAGGCGCCCCGAGUUCAUACUAAUCUAAAAAGUAAAAGUGUAUUGAAAUCUUGAUGAGGAGUGGAGUAUUUACCGAGUCUCAAAGUACCUCCGCACAGAAUACUUAGGAGUUACAAAGAGGGGAAAGAGUGACUUCUCAGUGGAAAUGCCUGGAGAGCAGCCCUUUGGGAAACCACUCAAUCAGGGUGAACUUCCACUGUAUUGGGCUGUGUCCUCACUGUGCACCACCUGCUAGCACGUGCCGAAGAGAGCACAGCCUCACUUCUUCUGGUGUUGCUGCCAGGAGUGCAUGACCUGAGUCUAGCCCUGCGGACACACCGGCUCCGUCCAGACAGAGGGGCUGUAUGUCAUCUUCCCAAGUGUCGAGGUCAGGGACAUCGGGGGGCAUCUGAGAGACUGUUCCAGGCUGACAGAGAGCAACGAGAUGUGACGGCUGAAUGCAGUUCGUGCGGCUCUGAUCCCGAUCUGCUCUAGGACGUUGGGAAACUGGGGACGCUUGAAUGGACUCUGAGAUUAGGCAGCAGUAAUGUCAGCACGCACUUCCCAGUUUGCGUGGUUGUGCUCUGUUUAUAAAUGGUUUUUGUUUGUAGAAGACACACUGAAUGUUUGGAGGGGAUGACACAUCGUGCCAGUAACUUCCUCUUGAAUGAUUUGGGGGGAAAGAGGUUUUUAUACCAUACUUCCAGCUCUUCUGUGUUAGAGUCUUGAAAAAUAUUUGUAAAUGAAUAAUCUGGGGCUCUAGGAGGAGUUAGUGUGGAGAAAAGCCCGAGGUGGAGUCCCAGAGAAGAGGCCUUGGACUAUCCGAAUGAAGGACUGCUGCAUGGGAGAGGAAUUUCCCUCCAUUCUGGGACGUUCAGCUUGAGGUUGGGGUGUUUGUUAUAUUUGGUGACAUCUUACAGUUUAUUGGCAGGAUUUUUCCUUCUUGAUACGUAACAGUAAUGAUGCACCUGACAGUUGAUGGUAUUUUACACCAUUGAUACAUGAAAUACAGUUUAUUUGCUUGGUGGUGCUUUUCGAGCAAAGAGAACCAAGAGCCAUGAAUGGGCAUUUAGGAAUCAAGAUUUUAAUUAUAAGGAAGACCUUUCUAAUACUUAAAACUGCCUGUGGAUAGAGCUAGCUACCUCAGCCGGUCGGGAGUUACUUGUAUUGUGUUGAAGAUGACCCCUAAGAACUCUCUUAACUAAAAGAUUCUCUGACCUCUGCUGACUGAUGAUUGUCUCCCCAGUUACCCCCUCCCUUCAUUUCUGCCUCUAGAUGAAGGAAGAAAGUGGCUUUCUCUUUUGUGCGGGCCUUUGCUCCUGCCGUCUUUUCUU
RNA transcript from Mirounga angustirostris (Northern elephant seal), 18561 nucleotides. It is a transcript of the gene named large ribosomal subunit protein eL43-like, with no coding region annotated. NCBI's taxonomy places the organism in Eukaryota, Metazoa, Chordata, Mammalia, Carnivora, Phocidae. The transcript has a single exon. The record is from RefSeq and is a predicted model, not a curated record.